UGUUAUGCCUUUUGGUCAAAAGUCAGUAGUUAGUGCAAAAUCUGAUUAAGUUACGUAACUAAGGUGAUAAAUAAGUUCAAAGUUAAGAAAUAUUAUAAGUAAUUCAUGCUAAAAACAGUUAAGAUGUGUGUGUUUGAAAUUUGCUCAGAGUGAGACAUCGUUAUCACAAGCGAUCUUUGUAUUGUAUGUGCGGAAAUGGGAGCGAGGGAGCGCUCUGAUCAUUCACCUAUCUUUGACGUAUUUUCUCCGUUAAUGUUGUGAAAAGUGCUUCGGCAGUAUUAAAACUGUGAAUAAGCUCAUGUACACGCUAAAAGUACUCUACACGCUUGUACCUUGGGAAACGUUCGUCUUUAGGGAGUGUUCGCCCGGGGCGCCAAACAGGCUAGGACCGCCACUGUUGCCGACUCAUCUAAUCCUUCCAGGUGAGGAGCAGAACCAGCUGUAUGUGUGGUGAUGCUGAGGCUACAAAACAGGUUGUAUCGAUGAAGUAUGGCACUUUCCCAAUAAGACAGACACGCUGUUUAAAAAUUACAUCAAAACUUUUUUACAGUAUAAGCAGGAGGCAUCCAGUUUCUCAUUCCCAGCAUACCGAUGAUUUGUCACGUCCCGAGGCAUCUUGUAGUAAGGCAAAAGGUACCCUUCGGUGUCCUUAUGAUCCGCUCCGGAUUCAUAAUUGAAUCCAGUAGAAUGCUGCUCGUGGCGGUAACACACGCUCCAGCUGUCUAUUCCAGCUCUAACCCUAACCUUAACCCUAUCAGACAGUGUUUUCCAAAGCGAUCAUGAUCGGAGCGUAAAACACAUUUACAUGUAUAGAUUCAUUCCAAGUGGCUCUCAUGGCACCAAAGGCGUAACAUACAGACGAUUGGUCCCAUAGCGUCGGUGUUGUGGAUGGGUGUAGCUUUGGGUCAUGUGGUGUCGGUAAUAGUGAUCGCUAUAUCACCUGUUCACGGCCUGAGGGAAUUUUUGUGAAUGAGUGGGUGAUGGGGGAAGUCGACUUUUGCUGACCGCUCAAGCUUAGAAUGUUUUUUGAUCACUGUUUUUCUACGGAUUUUAAGGAUUUGAUAACAAAUAAAGGAGUUUUUAAGUCUAGAACUUUGACUUACGUUUUAAACAGCGGGCGCGUCAACAUUAUUCCCCUAUUCAGCUGCUCGGCGACUCAAAGGCUUGACAGUCGCCAAUAUUUGUCAGCAAAAAGUGCGACGGCAAUGGAGCCUCCCGCAAUCAGCGCUGAAUAAACGCCGACGCAAGCCCACACACCGCCGCCACUACAUCCAUAAAAGCGGCUAGUCUGACAGAUAAGGAGAAGACAACGGUAAACUGUAAACUGUGUUUUUGUGCUGCGUAUUGUUUGAACGCAGUUUGGAUUCUGACCAUACGAAGAUGUUUUUGUGACACGCCCACCGCUAC
Long non-coding RNA from Oreochromis aureus, 1407 nucleotides. The record is from Ensembl. Lineage: Eukaryota; Metazoa; Chordata; Actinopteri; Cichliformes; Cichlidae.